Molecule: ribosomal RNA, 377 nt
Filed under: uncultured cyanobacterium
Lineage: Bacteria; Bacillati; Cyanobacteriota
Description: bacterial SSU rRNA
Rfam family: Bacterial small subunit ribosomal RNA
Source: RNAcentral
CGCAAGCCUGACGGAGCAAGACCGCGUGCGGGAUGACGGCCUAAUGGUUGUAAACCGCUUUUCUCUGGGAAGAUGAUGACGGUACCAGAGGAAUCAGCCUCGGCUAACUCCAUGCCAGCAGCCGCGGUAAUACGGAGGAGGCAAGCGUUAUCCGGAAUUAUUGGGCGUAAAGCGUCCGUAGGUGGUUAUUCAAGUCUGCUGUCAAAGCGUGGGGCUUAACUCCAUAGAGGCAGUGGAAACUGGAUGACUUGAGUGCGGUAGGGGUCGAGGGAAUUCCCAGUGUAGCGGUGAAAUGCGUAGAUAUUGGGAAGAACACCAGUGGCGAAAGCGCUCGACUGGGCCUGCACUGACACUGAGGGACGAAAGCUAGGGGAGCG